GACGAACGCUGGCGGCGUGCUUAACACAUGCAAGUCGAACGGAAAGGCCCUGCUUUUGUGGGGUGCUCGAGUGGCGAACGGGUGAGUAACACGUGAGUAACCUGCCCUUGACUUUGGGAUAACUUCAGGAAACUGGGGCUAAUACCGGAUAGGAGCUCCUGCUGCAUGGUGGGGGUUGGAAAGUUUCGGCGGUUGGGGAUGGACUCGCGGCUUAUCAGCUUGUUGGUGGGGUAGUGGCUUACCAAGGCUUUGACGGGUAGCCGGCCUGAGAGGGUGACCGGCCACAUUGGGACUGAGAUACGGCCCAGACUCCUACGGGAGGCAGCAGGGGGAAAUUUUGCACAAUGGGCGGAAGCCUGAUGCAGCAACGCCGCGUGCGGGAUGACGGCCUUCGGGUUGUAAACCGCUUUCGCCUGUGACGAAGCGUGAGUGACGGUAAUGGGUAAAGAAGCACCGGCUAACUACGUG
RNAcentral lists this ribosomal RNA (468 nucleotides) under uncultured bacterium. RNAcentral's name for it is "partial 16S ribosomal RNA". It matches the Rfam family "Bacterial small subunit ribosomal RNA", at positions 28 to 507 of the family's 1533-position model. The record is from RNAcentral.